GGGCCCGCACAAGCGGUGGAGCAUGUGGUUUAAUUCGAUGAUACGCGAGGAACCUUACCAGGGCUUAAAUGUAGUCUGACAGCUUUAGAGAUAGAGUUUUCUUCGGACAGAUUACAAGGUGCUGCAUGGUUGUCGUCAGCUCGUGCCGUGAGGUGUCAGGUUAAGUCCUAUAACGAGCGCAACCCCUGUCGUUAGUUGCCAGCAUGUCAUGAUGGGGACUCUAACGAGACUGCCGGUGCAAACCGCGAGGAAGGUGGGGAUGACGUCAAAUCAUCACGGCCCUUACGUCCUGGGCCACACACGUGCUACAAUGGCCGGUACAGAGAGCAGCCACGUCGCAAGGCGGAGCGAAUCUAUAAAACCGGUCACAGUUCGGAUCGGAGUCUGCAACUCGACUCCGUGAAGCUGGAAUC
Molecule: ribosomal RNA, 413 nt
Filed under: uncultured bacterium
Lineage: Bacteria
Description: bacterial SSU rRNA
Rfam family: Bacterial small subunit ribosomal RNA
Source: RNAcentral